Molecule: long non-coding RNA, 1229 nt
Organism: Thrips palmi
Lineage: Eukaryota; Metazoa; Arthropoda; Insecta; Thysanoptera; Thripidae
Exons: 5
Source: RefSeq, a predicted model, not a curated record
UAUGAAAAGGUGGAGAGAAUUGCCAUGAGACUCACCUGCGAGGGACAGCCGUUGGGACCGGAGCACCAUAUUUGAAGGCGGAAAAACGGUUCAUUCCGCGUAACUCAUCAUGCUGCUCAUUUCACCAGCGGUUUUGAAGAAGAAGUCAUGUCAGCAUUAAACGGUCAGCAGCCCGGGAACCUCGUGCGAGAGCACUGGAGAGGAACAACACCUUCUUAUUUUGAAACUGGAGCCCACCACGACACUGCAGAAUUCCAGGAUAACGCCCUACCCUAGGUGUUUCCGAACCUGUUGAUGAUGCAGUCCGCCCACCGUUCCCCUGUUGCCCAUGCUCCUGGACUCCGUUCACUCGACUUGUCUUGAGGUCUUUGUUCGAGUUCCUUCAUGAAGCCAACCUGCCUGUUUUGGAAGUUCCUUACUCCAUGGAAAUGGAUCAUCUUUCAUUGCAGGUAUCACAAGUGCAUCUCCAGUGCUUGCUUUAGGAGCUGCUGCCCUGAAAUUUCUGUCGCUGUUCAUCCACAAAAGAAAACUGCUCCCUGGGACAACUUCCUUUAUUAAUGCUAGUUCUUAUUUCUUUUGUCUUGUCAUCCCUCCAAAUUUCAAAGCUUCCAUAGUGAGAAAAGAGAGAGAUCGAAUUUGCCAUUCAUUGUACACAUUUACACCACAGUAUUACUCUCCUCAGAGCUUUUUUUUUUGGAAUUGAGGAAUAUAGUUUCCUUGUGGCUUGAGUAAGGCAGUAAUGGCCAAGUGUACCUUUGUAUACUGUGAUGACUCUGGUUUGGCUUGUUUGCAUAAGUGAUUAACUGAUUGCUCAGUAUUCUGCAAUAUUUGAUAAAAGAUAUGUGAUUGGAAUGAUAAGCCGGCACCAAAAAUUAAUGUCCUUGGAAGUGCACUCCUAGUUCAACUUCUACUUUUCUUUUAUUUGAUUGAAUCCCCAAAUCUGUAACUGUUGUGUACCAAUGGAUCUCCUGGAAGUAUUGGAACUACAUCACGUUGAAGAUCUAACCAAUUUGAAGGUAUGAAAUUUCUGCCACCUACUUUGUCUCACUUCUUUUUCAAUGCGUUUUGAACUGAUGCUAAUUAAUUCAAUUGAAAUGAUUUGAUUUUACCGUACUCAUUCACUUCAUGGAAUUUAAACAACUAAAUCUCCAUUCAUGGCUUGGUAUACAACUAACUGCAAAUCAAAGUUUGUGUCCUGCUCUAUUUUCUGGAAAUUAAAAAAUCAUGCU